UACGUAGGUGGCAAGCGUUGUCCGGAAUUAUUGGGCGUAAAGCGCGCGCAGGCGGCCUCUUAAGUCUGACGUGAAAGCCCCCGGCUCAACCGGGGAGGGCCAUUGGAAACUGGGAGGCUUGAGUAUAGGAGAGAAGAGUGGAAUUCCACGUGUAGCGGUGAAAUGCGUAGAGAUGUGGAGGAACACCAGUGGCGGAGGCGACUCUUUGGCCUAUAA
Molecule: ribosomal RNA, 216 nt
Filed under: uncultured bacterium
Lineage: Bacteria
Description: partial 16S ribosomal RNA
Rfam family: Bacterial small subunit ribosomal RNA
Source: RNAcentral